RNAcentral lists this transfer RNA (69 nucleotides) under Rheohyla miotympanum (small-eared treefrog). RNAcentral's name for it is "tRNA-Val". Lineage: Eukaryota; Metazoa; Chordata; Amphibia; Anura; Hylidae. The record is from RNAcentral.
CAAGAUAUAGYUUAAUUAAACCACCUCGCUUACACCGAAAAGAUAUCUGUGAGACCCAGAUUAUCUUGA